AGCAGCCGCGGUAAUUCCAGCUCCAAUAGCGUAUAUUAAAGUUGUUGCAGUUAAAAAAGCUCGUAGUUGAAUUUCGGGAUUAACGUAAUGGUCGUGCCUUAAGGGGUAUGAACUGUUACUGUUGAUUUCUCACCUUCUGGAGAAUCUUGAUGUCCUUAAUUGGGUGUCUUGUGGAUCCAGGACCUUUACCUUGAAAAAAAUU
This 202-nucleotide unclassified non-coding RNA is filed under the name uncultured Glomus. RNAcentral describes it as "sequence contains 18S rRNA gene". It matches the Rfam family "Eukaryotic small subunit ribosomal RNA", at positions 569 to 768 of the family's 1831-position model. The record is from RNAcentral. Lineage: Eukaryota; Fungi; Glomeromycota; Glomeromycetes; Glomerales; Glomeraceae.